UACGGGGGGGGCAAACGUUAUUCGGAAUCACUGGGCUUAAAGAGUCCGUAGGCGGCAUGUUAGGUGAGGUGUGAAAUCCCCCGGCUCAACCGAGGAAUUGCGCUUCAAACCGGCGUGCUUGAGGAAGAUAGAGGUGGGCGGAACUGAUGGUGGAGCGGUGAAAUGCGUUGAUAUCAUCAGGAACACCGGAGGCGAAGGCGGCCCACUGGGUCUUUUCUGACGCUGAGGGACGAAAGCUAGGGGAGCGAACGGG
This 253-nucleotide ribosomal RNA is filed under the name uncultured bacterium. Its description in RNAcentral is "partial 16S ribosomal RNA". It matches the Rfam family "Bacterial small subunit ribosomal RNA", at positions 524 to 776 of the family's 1533-position model. The record is from RNAcentral.